Molecule: ribosomal RNA, 253 nt
Filed under: Salmonella enterica subsp. enterica serovar Anatum
Lineage: Bacteria; Pseudomonadati; Pseudomonadota; Gammaproteobacteria; Enterobacterales; Enterobacteriaceae
Description: partial 23S ribosomal RNA
Rfam family: Bacterial large subunit ribosomal RNA
Source: RNAcentral
CCGGGGGAACUGAAACAUCUAAGUACCCCGAGGAAAAGAAAUCAACCGAGAUUCCCCCAGUAGCGGCGAGCGAACGGGGAGGAGCCCAGAGCCUGAAUCAGCAUGUGUGUUAGUGGAAGCGUCUGGACGCUUUUUACCACUUCGGAUGAUGAACCCGGAAGCUAUUAUCCGCUGAUUGCCGACCAUGCCCGCUAUGCCGCCGACUAUUCCUGGGUGGAAAUCUCGAUUAAUCCCCGCGCUCGUUUUCACGAUG